RNAcentral lists this ribosomal RNA (562 nucleotides) under uncultured eukaryote. RNAcentral describes it as "SSU rRNA". It matches the Rfam family "Eukaryotic small subunit ribosomal RNA", at positions 5 to 565 of the family's 1831-position model. The record is from RNAcentral.
CGGUUGAUCCUGCCAGUAGUCAUAUGCUUGUCUCAAAGAUUAAGCCAUGCAUGUCUAAGCACAAGCCUAAGAAUGGUAAAGCCGCGAAUGGCUCAUUACAACAGCCAUAGUUUACUGGAUCUUACUUUCCUACUUGGAUAACUGUGGUAAUUCUAGAGCUAAUACACGCAUGAAAGCUCUGACCUUUUGGAAGGAGCGCAUUUAUUAGAACAAAACCAAUCGGGCCUUCGGGCCCGCCAAUUGGUGAAUCUGAAUAACUUUGCAGAUCGCACGGUCUCGUACCGGCGACGUAUCUUUCAAAUGUCUGCCUUAUCAACUUUAGAUGGUAGUUUACACGCCUACCAUGGUUGUAACGGGUAACGGAGAAUAAGGGUUCGACUCCGGAGAGGGAGCCUGAGAAAUGGCUACCACAUCCAAGGAAGGCAGCAGGCACGCAAAUUACCCACUCCCGGCACGGGGAGGUAGUGACGAAAAAUAACGAGGCGGUUCUCUACGAGGCCCGCCAUCGGAAUGGGUACAAUUUAAAUCCUUUAACGAGGAUCUAUUGGAGGGCAAGUCUGGU